This 681-nucleotide long non-coding RNA is filed under the name Danio rerio (zebrafish). RNAcentral describes it as "si:ch211-1k7.1 (ENSDARG00000096247.3)". The record is from RNAcentral. Lineage: Eukaryota; Metazoa; Chordata; Actinopteri; Cypriniformes; Danionidae.
GUGAGAAACCGCCAUUUUCUUUGCGCUGUCUUUGAGGGGAAGCGAGUGAAAUUCUGUGUGAGACGUAAGUUAUUUAGUGUGUAUUUAACAAUUUUCAUAAGAAAUAACACACUUAGUUUACUUAGUAUAAUAUACACGCGCUUUUUUUCUGUUUCUCCGCCUGAUGGCUGACUUGUUGCUCCGCCUCACGCUGACCUGUGCUCGCCUUAUGGCUGAACUGUUGCUCCGAGUCCGCCUGACGAGCCACCUGUUUCUCCGGAUCUGUUUCUCCGCCUAACGGCGACCUGUUUCUCCGGACCUGUUUCUCCGGACCUGAUUCUCCGCCUAACGGCGACCUGUUUCUCCGGACCUGUUUCUCCGCCUAACGCCCGAGCUGUUGCUCCACCUAACGCCUGACCUGUGCUCGCCUCACGCCCGACCUGUUGCUCCGCCUCACGGGCAGCCUGUUGAUCGGUGGACGGGUAAGCGCGCAUGGCAUCGGAAGGAGCUCGAAAAGUAUAAGGUGAUGACAGUAAGUAACGUUACUGUGAUUUGUGAUCUUUCUGGGGUGUAAGUAAGUAAUGGAUAAUUGCGUGAAAAUCAAACUAAAAGAAUGCAAUCUUGAGGAGUUAAUCCCCACAUUUGAAGCACAGGAGCGAACCUUUUCUCGUUUUUAGGUCAAUUUGAAUACAAUUCAGAGGG